GACGAAGGGGGCUAGCGUUGUUCGGAAUUACUGGGCGUAAAGCGCGUGCAGGCGGUUGUCCAAGUUGGAUGUGAAAGCCUUGAGCUUAACUCAAGAAAUGCAUUCAGGACUGGAUGACUAGAGGACCGGAGAGGAUAGUGGAAUUCCCAGUGUAGUGGUGAAAUACGUAGAGAUUGGGAAGAACACCAGUGGCGAAGGCGGCUAUCUGGACGGUUUCUGACGCUAAGACGCGAAAGCGUGGGGAGCAAACAGG
Molecule: ribosomal RNA, 253 nt
Filed under: uncultured bacterium
Lineage: Bacteria
Description: partial 16S ribosomal RNA
Rfam family: Bacterial small subunit ribosomal RNA
Source: RNAcentral